Molecule: ribosomal RNA, 207 nt
Filed under: uncultured bacterium
Lineage: Bacteria
Description: partial 16S ribosomal RNA
Rfam family: Bacterial small subunit ribosomal RNA
Source: RNAcentral
UACGUAGGCGGCGCUGUCAGUCGGGUGUGAAAUCCCACGGCUCAACCGUGGAACUGCGCCCGAUACUGCAGUGCUUGAGGGAGACAGAGGUAAGCGGAACUGAUGGUGGAGCGGUGAAAUGCGUUGAUAUCAUCAGGAACACCGGUGGCGAAAGCGGCUUACUGGGUCUCUUCUGACGCUGAGGUACGAAAGCUAGGGGAGCAAAGG